This 468-nucleotide ribosomal RNA is filed under the name uncultured bacterium. Its description in RNAcentral is "partial 16S ribosomal RNA". It matches the Rfam family "Bacterial small subunit ribosomal RNA", at positions 28 to 507 of the family's 1533-position model. The record is from RNAcentral.
GACGAACGCUGGCGGCGUGCUUAACACAUGCAAGUCGAACGGAAAGGCCCUGCCUUUGUGGGGAGCUCGAGUGGCGAACGGGUGAGUAACACGUGAGUAACCUGCCCUUGACUUUGGGAUAACUUCAGGAAACUGGGGCUAAUACCGGAUAUGAGCUCCUGCUGCAUGGUGGGGGUUGGAAAGUUUCGGCGGUGGGGGAUGGACUCGCGGCUUAUCAGCUUGUUGGUGGGGUAGUGGCUUACCAAGGCUUUGACGGGUAGCCGGCCUGAGAGGGUGACCGGCCACAUUGGGACUGAGAUACGGACCAGUCUGCUACGGGAGGCAGUAGUGGGGAAUAUGGCACAAUGGGCGGAAGCCUGAUGCAGCAACGCCGCGUGCGGGAUGCCGGCCUUCGGGUUGUAAACCGCUUUGGCCGGUGACGAAGCGUGAGUGACGGUAAUGGGUAAAGAAGCACCGGCUAACUACGUG